CAGGAUGUAGCUUAUAUGGAAAGCUUUUUAUUUACAUUAAAAUUAAAAUUGAUUAUUUUUUCUGA
This 65-nucleotide transfer RNA is filed under the name Typhlocybinae gen. 1 sp. 2 BY-2021a. Its description in RNAcentral is "tRNA-Val". Lineage: Eukaryota; Metazoa; Arthropoda; Insecta; Hemiptera; Cicadellidae. The record is from RNAcentral.